Erinaceus europaeus (western European hedgehog) is the source of this 106-nucleotide small nuclear RNA. The record is from Ensembl. Lineage: Eukaryota; Metazoa; Chordata; Mammalia; Eulipotyphla; Erinaceidae.
GUGCUUGCUUCGGCAGCACAUAUACUAAAAUUGGAAUGAUACAGAGAAGAUUAGCAUGCCCCCGCACAAGGAUGGUACACAAAUUAGUGAAGCAUUCCAUAUUUUU